CGCAGCCGCGGUAAUUCCAGCUCCAAUAGCGUAUAUUAAAGUUGUUGCAGUUAAAAAGCUCGUAGUUGAAUUUCGGAAUCUGUCCGUUGGUCGGGCUUCAUUGUCCGUACUGAUGUGAUGGGUUCUUACCUUCUGAAUAACCAGCAUGUCAUUAAUUUGGUGUGUUGGGGAAGCAGGACUAUUACCUUGAAAAAAUUAGAGUGCUCAAAGCAGGCUAGUGCCUGAAUACAUUAGCAUGGAAUAAUAAAAUAGGACGGCAUGGUUCUAUUUUGUUGGUUUCUAGGAUCACCGUAACGAUUAAUAGGGAUAGUUGGGGGCAUUAGUAUUCAAUUGUCAGAGGUGAAAUUCUUGGAUUUAUUGAAGACUAACUUCUGCGAAAGCAUUUGCCAAGGAUGUUUUCAUUAAUCAAGAACGAAAGUUAGGGGAUCGAAGACGAUCAGGUACCGUCGUAGUCUUAACCAUAAACUAUGCCGACUAGGGAUCGGACGAUGUUAAUUUUAUAAUGACUCGUUCGGCGCCU
This 520-nucleotide ribosomal RNA is filed under the name uncultured Acaulospora. RNAcentral's name for it is "SSU rRNA". It matches the Rfam family "Eukaryotic small subunit ribosomal RNA", at positions 569 to 1088 of the family's 1831-position model. Lineage: Eukaryota; Fungi; Glomeromycota; Glomeromycetes; Diversisporales; Acaulosporaceae. The record is from RNAcentral.